This is a long non-coding RNA of Homo sapiens (human), 676 nucleotides long. RefSeq lists it as uncharacterized. The transcript has 2 exons. The record is from RefSeq and is a predicted model, not a curated record. Lineage: Eukaryota; Metazoa; Chordata; Mammalia; Primates; Hominidae.
UGUCUUCCUUGGCUGCUCCUGGCCCUUGUUACCAGCUCCCAGGGGUGUCCACAACCACUUGGGACAGAAGAUGAAGGUGGAAUUUCAAAGAGAAGCUUGCUUGGAUCUUCGGUGACAAGCUUGGAUGAGCUACAGCCCCAACAUGGUCCCUCUCAGAAUUGCCUGGAAGAGGCUUUGGCAGGUGCCAGAGGUGCCAGGGGGCCUGCCUCCCUCUGCUGCAUCCAGUGGGUGCAAGCCAGCCAACAUGUGGCCAGAGUGGCUGCUCAGAUGUCUUUCCCUCCACUUUUUUUUAAGGAGUCCCACGUAAGUCACUUGAAGUAUCUCAAAGGCAAGCAAGUUAUAUGAAAAUGAAACCUACCUCAGUUAAUUGAUCAAAUGGGUGAAUCUUGACCCUCUCUAGUUUCUUUCCCUGGUCAGAGUGGGGAGCUGGUGUUAACUGUGGGAUUCAUAUGGCGUCCUACCCCAAAGGCAAAGAAGAUGAAAAUGCAGCGUGCAGACCUGGCUUGAUUCCCAAGUCGCAGUCUAGCUCCCGCUAUGCAAGAAGAUUCAGCUGGUCGGAUUUUUUGGGCUGCCUCGAAGAUGCUGACAACAUUUUCUGUGCUGUGAUUGUUCUGAAGGCAGAGUAGCUCUACCCACUGUGAGAAGCCCAAAUAAAAAUCAGUACCCCCCCACCAAA